Molecule: long non-coding RNA, 248 nt
Filed under: Zonotrichia albicollis (white-throated sparrow)
Lineage: Eukaryota; Metazoa; Chordata; Aves; Passeriformes; Passerellidae
Description: lncRNA (ENSZALG00000011714.1)
Source: RNAcentral
GCAAAAACCAGUCUGAAGAUUUAGUGAAUAACUGCUUAUUUCAAAGACUCAGCAAAUGUCAAGCAACAACAAAAAAAAGUACAUUCUAUCCAGCAACCUUGAACAUGGAUCUGGGUCUUCCUGGCAUCCCAUAAUUCUGUGCACCAUCUUUAUGAUUCCCAUGCUUCAGGAGACACUGUAGUCUUUCAGCAACGGUAAGCUUUGCUCUCUCCUUGCAUUGCCACUAUGUUAUAUCAAUAAAAUGCCAU